AGAGUUUGAUCAUGGCUCAGGAUGAACGCUAGCGGCAGGCUUAACACAUGCAAGUCGAGGGGUAACGGGAGUGCUUGCACUCGCCGACGACCGGCGCACGGGUGCGUAACGCGUAUACAAUCUACCCUUUACUGGGGAAUAGCCCAGAGAAAUUUGGAUUAAUGCCCCAUAGUACAUAUAUAUGGCAUCAUAUUUAUGUUAAAGGCUACGGUAAAGGAUGAGUAUGCGUACCAUUAGUUAGUUGGUAAGGUAACGGCUUACCAAGACCGCGAUGGUUAGGGGCCCUGAGAGGGGGAUCCCCCACACUGGUACUGAGACACGGACCAGACUCCUACGGGAGGCAGCAGUGAGGAAUAUUGGACAAUGGGCGAGAGCCUGAUCCAGCCAUGCCGCGUGUAGGAAGACUGCCCUAUGGGUUGUAAACUACUUUUACAUGGGAAGAAUAAGGGUCACGUGUGGCCUUAUGACGGUACCAUGAGAAUAAGGACCGGCUAACUCCGUGCCAGCAGCCGCGGUAAUACGGAGGGUCCGAGCGUUAUCCGGAAUUAUUGGGUUUAAAGGGUCCGUAGGCGGGCCGUUAAGUCAGGGGUGAAAGUUUGUGGCCCAACCAUAAAAUUGCCUUUGAUACUGACGGUCUUGAGUUAUAGUGAAGUUGCCGGAAUAUGUAGUGUAGCGGUGAAAUGCAUAGAUAUUACAUAGAACACCGAUUGCGAAGGCAGGUGACUAACUAUAUACUGACGCUGAUGGACGAAAGCGUGGGGAGCGAACAGGAUUAGAUACCCUGGUAGUCCACGCCGUAAACGAUGGAUACUAGCUGUUCGGUCUUCGGACUGAGCGGCCAAGCGAAAGUGAUAAGUAUCCCACCUGGGGAGUACGUUCGCAAGAAUGAAACUCAAAGGAAUUGACGGGGGCCCGCACAAGCGGUGGAGCAUGUGGUUUAAUUCGAUGAUACGCGAGGAAACUUACCAGGGCUUAAAUGUAGAUUGACAGGGCUAGAGAUAGCUUUUCCUUAGAGUUUUCUUCGGACAGAUCACAAGGUGCUGCAUGGUUGUCGUCAGCUCGUGCCGUGAGGUGUCAGGUUAAGUCCUAUAACGAGCGCAACCCCUGUUGUUAGUUGCCAGCACAUAAUGGUGGGGACUCUAACAAGACUGCCGGUGCAAACCGUGAGGAAGGUGGGGAUGACGUCAAAUCAUCACGGCCCUUACGUCCUGGGCUACACACGUGCUACAAUGGCCGGUACAGCGGGCAGCCACUGCGCAAGCAGGAGCGAAUCCACAAAACCGGUCACAGUUCGGAUCGGGGUCUGCAACUCGACCCCGUGAAGCUGGAAUCGCUAGUAAUCGGAUAUCAGCCAUGAUCCGGUGAAUACGUUCCCGGGCCUUGUACACACCGCCCGUCAAGCCAUGGAAGCCGGGAGUGCCUGAAGUCCGUCACCGUAAGGAGCGGCCUAGGGCAAAAUUGGUAACUAGGGCUAAGUCGUAACAAGGUAAC
This 1491-nucleotide ribosomal RNA is filed under the name uncultured prokaryote. RNAcentral describes it as "partial 16S ribosomal RNA". It matches the Rfam family "Bacterial small subunit ribosomal RNA". The record is from RNAcentral.